RNAcentral lists this small RNA (649 nucleotides) under Oryza sativa Japonica Group (Japanese rice). RNAcentral's name for it is "sRNA Os01g0209300". The record is from RNAcentral. Lineage: Eukaryota; Viridiplantae; Streptophyta; Magnoliopsida; Poales; Poaceae.
UCAUCAGCCAUAUCAGAAUUCCACAGUGCUAGAUUAUCCCUCAGAAGUUGCAUGAUCAGUGUACUAUCUUUGUAAUUCUCCUCACUGAGGGAGGGAAGCUCCGCAACAGCUUCAUCAAAGGCGUUCUUAGCAAAAACAACAUACUUGUCAGGUGAGUUCAUGAUCUCACAGUAGAAGACAGAUAUAUUCAGAGCUAAACCAAGUCUGAUAGGGUCAGUUGGAGUGAGAUCUGUCUGCGCAGAUCACAUGCCUCAUAAGCAUUGAGUGACAGUUCAGACACUUCAAUCUUCUCAGUCCCAGUCUUGAACUCUGCAAGGUACCGGUAGGUAAAGCAGCGUCACAUUUUGUAGUAGAAGACUGAGCUCUCAGCUCCAGAGGAAUGUGGGAUAAGGUACUUGUCAAUAAUGUUUAUGACAUCACAGCAGAUUUUAUCCAUCUCAGCCUCCACCUUGCGACGAUACUCAGCAGUCUGCCUUACAUGACUCUCCUUGCCCUUUGUCUCCUCCUUUAGCUCAAUGGAUCCAAUGAUACGCAUUGCCGCACGCUUUGCACCAAUCAAAUUCUUGUAGCCAACUGAGAGGAGGUUCCUCUCCUCCUUUGUCAGCCCCUCGUCUAACUUUGCCACACUAUUCAUUGCCUCCACCAUCUC